GACGAACGCUUGCGGCGUGCUUAACACAUGCAAGUCGAACGAUGAAGCUAGAGCUUGCUCUGGUGGAUUAGUGGCGAACGGGUGAGUAACACGUGAGUAACCUGCCCCGAACUCUGGGAUAACCGCUGGAAACGGUAGCUAAUACCGGAUAUGACCAAUGAAGGCAUCUUCUGGUGGUGGAAAGAAUUUCGGUUAGGGAUGGACUCGCGGCCUAGCAGCUUGUUGGUGAGGUCACGGCUCACCAAGGCGACGACGGGUAGCCGGGCUGAGAAGGUGAUCGGCCACACUGGGACUGAGACACGGCCCAGACUCCUACGGGAGGCAGCAGUGGGGAAUAUUGCACAAUGGGCGCAAGCCUGAUGCAGCAACGCCGCGUGAGGGACGACGGCCUUCGGGUUGUAAACCUCUUUUAGUAGGGAAGAAGCGAAAGUGACGGUACCUGCAGAAAAAGCACCGGCUAACUACGUGCCAGCAGCCGCGGUAA
This 484-nucleotide ribosomal RNA is filed under the name uncultured bacterium. RNAcentral's name for it is "partial 16S ribosomal RNA". It matches the Rfam family "Bacterial small subunit ribosomal RNA", at positions 28 to 523 of the family's 1533-position model. The record is from RNAcentral.